UCGAGCGCCCCGCAAGGGGAGCGGCAGACGGGUGAGUAACACGUGGGAACGUACCUUUCGGUUCGGGACAACCCAGGGAAACUUGGGCUAAUACCGGAUACGCCCUUCGGGGAAAGAUUUAUCGCCGAAAGAUCGGCCCGCGUCCGAUUAGCUAGUUGGUGAGGUAACGGCUCACCAAGGCGACGAUCGGUAGCUGGUCUGAGAGGAUGAUCAGCCACAUUGGGACUGAGAUACGGCCCAG
This 241-nucleotide ribosomal RNA is filed under the name uncultured bacterium. Its description in RNAcentral is "partial 16S ribosomal RNA". It matches the Rfam family "Bacterial small subunit ribosomal RNA", at positions 62 to 334 of the family's 1533-position model. The record is from RNAcentral.